This 30-nucleotide non-coding RNA is filed under the name Mus musculus (house mouse). Lineage: Eukaryota; Metazoa; Chordata; Mammalia; Rodentia; Muridae. The record is from RNAcentral.
UAAUAAGUAAUUGUAGUGUGCCAUACAUAA